Molecule: ribosomal RNA, 713 nt
Filed under: uncultured Burkholderiales bacterium
Lineage: Bacteria; Pseudomonadati; Pseudomonadota; Betaproteobacteria; Burkholderiales
Description: SSU rRNA
Rfam family: Bacterial small subunit ribosomal RNA
Source: RNAcentral
ACGGCAGCACGGAGCUUGCUCUGGUGGCGAGUGGCGAACGGGUGAGUAAUAUAUCGGAACGUACCCUAUAGUGGGGGAUAACAUAGCGAAAGUUACGCUAAUACCGCAUACGAUCUAAGGAUGAAAGUGGGGGAUCGCAAGACCUCAUGCUCGUGGAGCGGCCGAUAUCUGAUUAGCUAGUUGGUAGGGUAAAAGCCUACCAAGGCAUCGAUCAGUAGCUGGUCUGAGAGGACGACCAGCCACACUGGAACUGAGACACGGUCCAGACUCCUACGGGAGGCAGCAGUGGGGAAUUUUGGACAAUGGGCGAAAGCCUGAUCCAGCAAUGCCGCGUGAGUGAAGAAGGCCUUCGGGUUGUAAAGCUCUUUUGUCAGGGAAGAAACGGUGAAAGCUAAUAUCUUUUGCUAAUGACGGUACCUGAAGAAUAAGCACCGGCUAACUACGUGCCAGCAGCCGCGGUAAUACGUAGGGUGCAAGCGUUAAUCGGAAUUACUGGGCGUAAAGCGUGCGCAGGCGGUUUUGUAAGUCUGAUGUGAAAUCCCCGGGCUCAACCUGGGAAUUGCAUUGGAGACUGCAAGGCUAGAAUCUGGCAGAGGGGGGUAGAAUUCCACGUGUAGCAGUGAAAUGCGUAGAUAUGUGGAGGAACACCGAUGGCGAAGGCAGCCCCCUGGGUCAAGAUUGACGCUCAUGCACGAAAGCGUGGGGAGCAAACA